UACGGAGGGAGCUAGCGUUGUUCGGAAUUACUGGGCGUAAAGCGCACGUAGGCGGCUUUGUAAGUUAGAGGUGAAAGCCCGGGGCUCAACUCCGGAACUGCCUUUAAGACUGCAUCGCUUGAAUCCAGGAGAGGUGAGUGGAAUUCCGAGUGUAGAGGUGAAAUUCGUAGAUAUUCGGAAGAACACCAGUGGCGAAGGCGGCUCACUGGCCCGGUACUGACGCUGAGGCGCGAAAGCGUGGGGAGCAAACAGG
RNAcentral lists this ribosomal RNA (253 nucleotides) under uncultured bacterium. Its description in RNAcentral is "partial 16S ribosomal RNA". It matches the Rfam family "Bacterial small subunit ribosomal RNA", at positions 524 to 776 of the family's 1533-position model. The record is from RNAcentral.